RNAcentral lists this transfer RNA (70 nucleotides) under Dipodomys ordii (Ord's kangaroo rat). It matches the Rfam family "tRNA". Rfam says of the family: Transfer RNA (tRNA) molecules are approximately 80 nucleotides in length. Their secondary structure includes four short double-helical elements and three loops (D, anti-codon, and T loops). Further hydrogen bonds mediate the characteristic L-shaped molecular structure. tRNAs have two regions of fundamental functional importance: the anti-codon, which is responsible for specific mRNA codon recognition, and the 3' end, to which the tRNAs corresponding amino acid is attached (by aminoacyl-tRNA synthetases). tRNAs cope with the degeneracy of the genetic code in two manners: having more than one tRNA (with a specific anti-codon) for a particular amino acid; and 'wobble' base-pairing, i.e. permitting non-standard base-pairing at the 3rd anti-codon position. Lineage: Eukaryota; Metazoa; Chordata; Mammalia; Rodentia; Heteromyidae. The record is from Rfam by way of RNAcentral.
GGGAAUGUGGCUUAGUGGUAGAGCACUUGCCUUGCAUGCUCGAGGCCCUGGGUUCGAUUCCUCAGCACCA